RNAcentral lists this long non-coding RNA (971 nucleotides) under Nicotiana benthamiana. RNAcentral describes it as "long non-coding RNA (NBEN_LNC004688)". Lineage: Eukaryota; Viridiplantae; Streptophyta; Magnoliopsida; Solanales; Solanaceae. The record is from RNAcentral.
UCUGCCUUCUCUCUACUUUCUCUCUCUAGAUUUUCUAUGAUUUCUCGGUCUAAUAUGAAUGUUUACAUGGUAUCAGAGCCUCGACGAUGAUUCGACUAUGUUUCUAUGUGCUUCGUUGUCCUGGAUGAAGUCUGUUUCGACGUUUUGGGGGUGAUUUCUGAGACCUCACGGUCGAUGAAGAUUCCGACUCAUCGGAGACCUUUCUGAGUCUUUCGUCGUGAUAUCGGAGUGUAUUUUCUUCUCCUGAACGUUCUGGAAGAUUUUAUGAUGAUUUUUGGUUGAUUUUGGGUGACUUAUCNNNNNNNNNNNNNNNNNNNNNNNCGGAGACCUUUCUGAGUCUUUCGUCGUGAUAUCGGAGUGUAUUUUCUUCUCCUGAACGUUCUGGAAGAUUUUAUGAUGAUUUUUGGUUGAUUUUGGGUGGCCUAUCGGCUUCUAGGGUUUCUGGUGGUUUAACCUGAAGUUUUACUGCCAUCCGGUGGCUUGAUUCUCACUCAGUGGACGUUUUGGGUGACUCUCCGACGAUCCUGACUACGUUUUCAGUAAGGUUUUUCAAGGUUACACCUAGGGUUUGAUACCUAGGGUUUCUCUGUUUGUUGGUUGUUGUGUGUGAAUACCUGUUUUGGUUGUAUUCUGUUUGUUGAAAAGUUGAUAUAUUCUGUUUGUUGGUUGUUGUGUGUGAAUACCUGUUUUGGUUGUAUUCUGUUUGUCGAAAAGUUGUUCAUUUAAGCAGGUUCAUAUACUAUGGCUUCUAGCACAAAUACUGGUGCCUCCCCUUCUGUAGACUCUUCCUGUCCCCUUUUUGUAUAUUCUUCUGAUGUCCCUGGGGUAUCUCUCGUUCCCACCCCCUUCUCGGGUAGUGGUUAUGGGGGCUGGAGACGUAAAAUGAUUGUUGCCUUAUUAGCCAAAAAUAAAAUCAGUUUUGUUGAUGGCACAUACACCCGACCUACCACCAAUGUGGCUCAACAAAGGUU